GACGAACGCUGGCGGCGUGCUUAACACAUGCAAGUCGAACGGAAAGGCCCUGCUUUUGUGGGGUGCUCGAGUGGCGAACGGGUGAGUAACACGUGAGUAACCUGCCCUUGACUUUGGGAUAACUUCAGGAAACUGGGGCUAAUACCGGAUAGGAGCCCCUGCUGCAUGGUGGGGGUUGGAAAGUUUCGGCGGUUGGGGAUGGACUCGCGGCUUAUCAGCUUGUUGGUGGGGUAGUGGCUUACCAAGGCUUUGACGGGUAGCCGGCCUGAGAGGGUGACCGGCAACAUUGGGACUGAGAUACGGCCCAGACUCCUACGGGAGGCAGCAGUGGGGAAUAUUGCACAAUGGGCGGAAGCCUGAUGCAGCAACGCCGCGUGCGGGAUGACGGCCUUCGGGUUGUAAACCGCUUUCGCCUGUGACGAAGCGUGAGUGACGGUAAUGGGUAAAGAAGCACCGGCUAACUACGUG
RNAcentral lists this ribosomal RNA (468 nucleotides) under uncultured bacterium. Its description in RNAcentral is "partial 16S ribosomal RNA". It matches the Rfam family "Bacterial small subunit ribosomal RNA", at positions 28 to 507 of the family's 1533-position model. The record is from RNAcentral.